This is a long non-coding RNA of Gymnodraco acuticeps, 459 nucleotides long. RefSeq lists it as uncharacterized. The transcript has 3 exons. The record is from RefSeq and is a predicted model, not a curated record. NCBI's taxonomy places the organism in Eukaryota, Metazoa, Chordata, Actinopteri, Perciformes, Bathydraconidae.
UCCAUUUUCAAGGAUUUGCUCCCUUACUGCCUCCACUUCACCACUUUGUGGCUACUGAGAAGUCUAUGAUUUGUUGAGUAUGUCAUGUGUCUUAUAAUGUUAUAUGAAUUCAUACUUGAUUUGUGAUGAUGAGAGACUUAAUAAUGUUUCCAUGUCUCUUUUAGGUUGACCACCCUAUAUAUGAGAGCCUAAGGAGUUGUUUUCCCUCUGUCCCCUUUUGAGGACCUGCUUUGUCUCCUCCAUCAUUCACUGGGCCACUUUUGGGUUCCUGAGCUUAUUUCAUGUGGUUUUCCUGACCUGCUAGAAGUUCUUCUAUGAUGCUUGAGGCAUCCAUCAUAUCUGAGAGCUUCGUCUUGACUGUCACGAAUUUGGUGAGGAGUGGAGCUGGCUGGCUGCGGACCAGGAAGUAGAGCAAUACAUACUUGUGCACAUACACGUAUAUGAGAAUGCAUAUCUAUU